This 178-nucleotide unclassified non-coding RNA is filed under the name uncultured fungus. RNAcentral's name for it is "sequence contains ITS1". Lineage: Eukaryota; Fungi. The record is from RNAcentral.
UUCAUUUAUUUAAUCAAUACUCCGACGCAAAGAGACAGCGUUAAAUGGUCCUCCGGAGGCGGCGGCGGACGCUCUGCCCCCGAGGCAAAAGGGUUUUUGGUCAACAAUGGGUUGGGGACGGGGGCACGGAGGCCCGCCAUCUUUGGUAAUGAUCCCUCCGCAGGUUCACCUACGGAGA